UACGGAGGGGGCUAGCGUUGUUCGGAAUUACUGGGCGUAAAGCGCACGUAGGCGGGUGGUUAAGUCAGGGGUGAAAUCCCGGAGCUCAACUCCGGAACUGCCUUUGAUACUGGCCAUCUAGAGAUCGGAAGAGGUGAGUGGAAUUCCCAGUGUAGAGGUGAAAUUCGUAGAUAUUGGGAAGAACACCAGUGGCGAAGGCGGCUCACUGGUCCGAUACUGACGCUGAGGUGCGAAAGCGUGGGGAGCAAACAGG
This 253-nucleotide ribosomal RNA is filed under the name uncultured bacterium. Its description in RNAcentral is "partial 16S ribosomal RNA". It matches the Rfam family "Bacterial small subunit ribosomal RNA", at positions 524 to 776 of the family's 1533-position model. The record is from RNAcentral.